AUACGGAGGAUGCAAGCGUUAUCCGGAUUUAUUGGGUUUAAAGGGUGCGUAGGCGGGCGCGUAAGUCAGCGGUGAAAUACCCCUGCUCAACAGGGGGGCUGCCGUUGAUACUGCGUGUCUAGAGUGCGAACGGCGCCGGCGGAAUGUGUCAUGUAGCGGUGAAAUGCAUAGAGAUGACACAGAACACCGAUCGCGAAGGCAGCUGGCGAGCACGACACUGACGCUGAGGCACGAAGGUGCGGGGAUCGAACAGGAUUAGAUACCCUGGUAGUCCGCACAGUAAACGAUGACGACUUGUUGUCGGCGACACACUGCCGGUGACAAAGCGAAAGCGAUAAGUCGUCCACCUGGGGAGUACGAUCGCAAGGUUGAAACUCAAAUGAAUUGACGGGG
Molecule: ribosomal RNA, 393 nt
Filed under: uncultured bacterium
Lineage: Bacteria
Description: partial 16S ribosomal RNA
Rfam family: Bacterial small subunit ribosomal RNA
Source: RNAcentral